This 498-nucleotide ribosomal RNA is filed under the name Triticum aestivum (bread wheat). RNAcentral's name for it is "partial small subunit ribosomal RNA". The record is from RNAcentral. Lineage: Eukaryota; Viridiplantae; Streptophyta; Magnoliopsida; Poales; Poaceae.
AUGCCUUUUUGUUGGAAUCAUUUUGUACCACUUUUUUGCUACAACAGUUUUGGUUUUUUGCUACUACCGGCACUGUCGUUUGUUACAUCCUUUUUCAUGAGGUUGUCGAGACCCUGCGACUAUGUGUUUUUCUACAACCUUAUACACUUUUUGCUACAACCUUGUGCAUUUUUUGCUACCACUAAAGAAGCCCCAAGCUGGACCACAAGUUGUUUUUCUACAACUGUUUUGUGGUUUGUUGCAACCAGUGUCAAUUUUUGCUACCACCGACUUCUUGAUUUUUCUAGAACCAGUGCUCAAUUUUUCAUUUUUGCUACCACUAGUGUUUCGAUUUGCUGGAACAAGCUUGAUAUUUUUGCUACCAUCAGGUUUUUGGUUUGUUGGAACGGCGUCGAUUUUUUUUUCAAUUUUGCUACCAACGUUUUAUUGGUUUUUGCUGGAACCGUCGAGAAUUUUUUCUAUGACCAGUGGAAUUUUUUGCUGCGACCGACAAAUUAA